GCAGGGAGGAGGCAGAUCUUCCCUCUGCUCUCCCUCAGCAGGAGAGUACCGCACGUGGUGAUCACCAGUCCAGGCAGGGAGGGCCCUGUGAGUGCAAAGACAUUGACAUCCAUCUUUGUGAACUUCAGUGGUGAUAGAGAGCUCUCUGGACACCAGGAUGCCUCAGGGGCUAGUGGGAAUCUCAUCUUUGGCCAAAGCCCUGCUGAGAGUCUACCUCCCUGCCGGGUCUGGGUCUUGGGAGCUGGGAGUGCCUCUGCCAGGCCACACCUGCUCCACUGCCUCUGUUCUGUUGCAGUGAAGUGCUCCAUGUGCAAGAGCGUCUCGGACACCUACGACCCCUACUUGGACGUCGCGCUGGAGAUCCGGCAAGCUGCGAAUAUUGUGCGUGCUCUGGAACUUUUUGUGAAAGCAGAUGUCCUGAGUGGAGAGAAUGCCUACAUGUGUGCUAAAUGCAAGAAGAAGGUUCCAGCCAGCAAGCGCUUCACCAUCCACAGAACAUCCAAUGUCUUAACCCUUUCCCUCAAGCGCUUUGCCAACUUCAGCGGAGGGAAGAUCACCAAG
This 561-nucleotide small RNA is filed under the name Pongo abelii (Sumatran orangutan). RNAcentral describes it as "retained intron". The record is from RNAcentral. Lineage: Eukaryota; Metazoa; Chordata; Mammalia; Primates; Hominidae.